UACGGAGGGGGCAAGCGGUGUUCGGAUUUACUGGGCGUAAAGGGAGCGUAGGCUGCCGAUUAAGUCUGGUGUGAAAGCUUUACCACUCAACGGAAAGAGGUCACUGGAAACUGGUCGAGUAGAGUAUGGAAGAGGCAAGCGGAAUUACUGGUGUAGAGGUGGAAUGUAUAGAUUUCAGGAAGAACAUCGGUAGCAAAAGCGGCUUGCUGGGUACUAACUGACGCUGAGGCUUGAAAGCGUGGGGAGCAAACGGG
RNAcentral lists this ribosomal RNA (254 nucleotides) under uncultured bacterium. RNAcentral's name for it is "partial 16S ribosomal RNA". It matches the Rfam family "Bacterial small subunit ribosomal RNA", at positions 524 to 776 of the family's 1533-position model. The record is from RNAcentral.